GAUCAUGGCUCAGGGCGAACGCUGGCGGCGUGCCUAACACAUGCAAGUCGAACGGAACUGUUUUGAAAGAUUUCUUCGGAAUGAAUUUGAUUUAGUUUAGUGGCGGACGGGUGAGUAACGCGUGAGUAACCUGCCUUCAAGAGGGGAGUAACAUUCUGAAAAGAAAUGCUAAUACCGCAUGACAUAUCGGAAUCACAUGGUUUUGUAUAUCAAGAAUUUAUUUCGCUUGUAAGAAUGGACGUCGCCG
RNAcentral lists this ribosomal RNA (247 nucleotides) under uncultured bacterium. Its description in RNAcentral is "partial 16S ribosomal RNA". It matches the Rfam family "Bacterial small subunit ribosomal RNA", at positions 15 to 238 of the family's 1533-position model. The record is from RNAcentral.